RNAcentral lists this signal recognition particle RNA (297 nucleotides) under Aotus nancymaae (Ma's night monkey). Its description in RNAcentral is "Metazoan signal recognition particle RNA (ENSANAG00000012165.1)". It matches the Rfam family "Metazoan signal recognition particle RNA". From Rfam's summary of the family: The signal recognition particle (SRP) is a universally conserved ribonucleoprotein. It is involved in the co-translational targeting of proteins to membranes. Lineage: Eukaryota; Metazoa; Chordata; Mammalia; Primates; Aotidae. The record is from RNAcentral.
GCCAGGCUCAGUGGCUCAUGCCUCUAGUCCUAGCUACUCCAGAGGCUGAAGUGAGAGGAUCGCUUGAGCCCAGGAGUUGUGGGCUGUAGUGCACUAUGACAAUUGGGUGUCCGCACUAAGUUUGGCAUCAAUGUUGUGACCUCCCGGGAGUGGGGUCCACAGGUUGCCUAAGGAGGGGUGAACAGGCCCAGGUUGGAAACGAAGCAGGUCAAAACUCCUGUGCUGAUCAGUAGUGGGAUUGUGCCUGUGAAUAGCCACUGCACUCCAGCCUGGGCAACAUAGCAAGACCCCAUCUCU